RNAcentral lists this ribosomal RNA (433 nucleotides) under uncultured bacterium. RNAcentral's name for it is "bacterial SSU rRNA". It matches the Rfam family "Bacterial small subunit ribosomal RNA", at positions 29 to 506 of the family's 1533-position model. The record is from RNAcentral.
AUGAACGCUGGCGGCAGGCCUAAAACAUGCAAGUCGAACGCUUGUAGCAAUACAAGAGUGGCGCACGGGUUAGUAACAUGUGGGAAUAUGCCUUUUGGUACGGAACAACUUUUGGAAACGAAAGCUAAUACCGUAUGGUCCCUUCGGGGUAAAGAUUUAUCGCCAAAAGAUUAGCCCGCACUGGAUUAGCUAGUUGGUGAGGUAAGAGCUCACCAAGGUGACGAUCCAUAGCUGGUCUGAGAGGACGAUCAGCCACACUGGGACUGAGACACGGCCCAGACUCCUACGGGAGGCAGCAGUUAGGAAUAUGGGACAAUGGGCGCAAGCCUGAUCCAGCCAUGCCGCGUGAGUGAUGAAGGCCUUCGGGUUGUAAAACUCUUUAGACGAGGAAGAUAAUGACUGUAGUCGGAAAAUAAGCCCCGGCUAACUUCGU